This 175-nucleotide transfer-messenger RNA is filed under the name Chryseobacterium sp. RNAcentral's name for it is "partial transfer-messenger RNA". It matches the Rfam family "transfer-messenger RNA", at positions 1 to 178 of the family's 374-position model. Rfam says of the family: Bacterial tmRNA, also known as 10Sa RNA or SsrA, is named for its dual tRNA and mRNA-like properties. Its role is to liberate the mRNA from a stalled ribosome. Lineage: Bacteria; Pseudomonadati; Bacteroidota; Flavobacteriia; Flavobacteriales; Weeksellaceae. The record is from RNAcentral.
GGGGUUGACUGGUUUCGACAGCAGGACCAAUGGAUAAGUAAGCAUGCAGAGAACCGCUGCGCGAUCUCUUAAAUCCCUUGCAGCGAAUUUUUAACUGGCAACGAAGAGUUUGCUCUUGCAGCUUAAUCUGAAUCAUAGUAGGAUUUAAGCGUUUUCCCGAAGUAUAGUAAGGAAG